RNAcentral lists this ribosomal RNA (156 nucleotides) under uncultured archaeon. RNAcentral describes it as "partial 16S ribosomal DNA". It matches the Rfam family "Archaeal small subunit ribosomal RNA", at positions 748 to 903 of the family's 1478-position model. The record is from RNAcentral.
UAGCUGUAAAGCAUGCGGGCCAGGUGUCUGGUGUUCCUCGAGAGCACCAGGUGCCGGAGAGAAGUCGUUAAGCCCGUCGCCUGGGAAGUACGGUCGCAAGGCUGAAACUUAAGGAAAUUGGCGGGGGAGCACCACAAGGGGUGGGACCUGCGGUUC